GUAGUCCACGCCCUAAACGAUGUCGACUAGUUGUUCGGAGCGGUAACGCUUUGAGUAACGCAGCUAACGCGUGAAGUCGACCGCCUGGGGAGUACGGCCGCAAGGUUAAAACUCAAAGGAAUUGACGGGGACCCGCACAAGCGGUGGAUGAUGUGGAUUAAUUCGAUGCAACGCGAAAAACCUUACCUACCCUUGACAUGCCAGGAACCCUUGAGAGAUCGAGGGGUGCCUUCGGGAGCCUGGACACAGGUGCUGCAUGGCUGUCGUCAGCUCGUGUCGUGAGAUGUUGGGUUAAGUCCCGCAACGAGCGCAACCCUUGUCGUUAAUUGCCAGCAUUGAGUUGGGCACUUUAGCGAGACUGCCGGUGACAAACCGGA
RNAcentral lists this ribosomal RNA (377 nucleotides) under uncultured bacterium. RNAcentral's name for it is "bacterial SSU rRNA". It matches the Rfam family "Bacterial small subunit ribosomal RNA", at positions 790 to 1167 of the family's 1533-position model. The record is from RNAcentral.